Molecule: ribosomal RNA, 493 nt
Filed under: uncultured bacterium
Lineage: Bacteria
Description: partial 16S ribosomal RNA
Rfam family: Bacterial small subunit ribosomal RNA
Source: RNAcentral
GACGAACGCUGGCGGCGUGCCUAAUACAUGCAAGUAGAACGCUGAAGGAGGAGCUUGCUUCUCUGGAUGAGUUGCGAACGGGUGAGUAACGCGUAGGUAACCUGCCUGGUAGCGGGGGAUAACUAUUGGAAACGAUAGCUAAUACCGCAUAAGAGUAGAUGUUGCAUGACAUUUGCUUAAAAGGUGCAAUUGCAUCACUACCAGAUGGACCUGCGUUGUAUUAGCUAGUUGGUGGGGUAACGGCUUACCAAGGCGACGAUACAUAGCCGACCUGAGAGGGUGAUCGGCCACACUGGGACUGAGACACGGCCCAGACUCCUACGGGAGGCAGCAGUAGGGAAUCUUCGGCAAUGGACGGAAGUCUGACCGAGCAACGCCGCGUGAGUGAAGAAGGUUUUCGGAUCGUAAAGCUCUGUUGUAAGAGAAGAACGAGUGUGAGAGUGGAAAGUUCACACUGUGACGGUAUCUUACCAGAAAGGGACGGCUAACUACG